GAAAAAAAUAAUUUCAGAACCAUUCAUUAAUUCAACAAACAUUUAUUGAGCACCUACCACAUACCAGAAUUUUGAAAUCGGUAUUGCUUUUGGGGAUUUAUUUUUGUAGUUUGGAUUUCAAUUUGAGUUUGAAUUCUAGGUUUGCAGCCUAUCUAGCUGUGGGAGAAUGAACAAGUCCUUUAACAUCUGUAUCUCAGUUUUUCUGCCUAUAAAAUGGGAAUAAUAAUUGCACCUAAUAACGUUGCUGUAAAAUUUAAUAAUAUAAUCACACAAAACGCUUACAAAAAAAAGAAGUUUCUGCUUGUGAAGGGCACUUCAAAUGAGGUCUCCCAUAUCCCUUUACGGAUAUGUGUCUCUUCUCCUUUGCCAUUAGGAGUAGUUACGUGGGCCAGUUUGGGAACUCUGUGUGCCAAGAAUUAUGCUAGAUGAUGAGGAUACAGAGAUGACUAAAACACAGGCCCUGAUCUCCAGGAUCUUAUAAUGAGGGAAAGAAAACAUUCCCAAGUAGACACUGAAUUCCUGGAGGAUAGGGAACCAUCCCCUAAUUGUCAUUGAGUAAAUUAAACACACAGCUUUCUCUUCCUAUAAUGAUCAGUUAACAAACAUUGCCUGAGCUCCUUGCCCUGUGGGCAAGGCUGUGCUGGCAAGGCUGUGCUGGGUGCUGGUAAUACAGCAAUAAAUCAGUCACAUGCCAAUCCCUCAGGUGGACCUUCUGGUACGGGAAAAAUCAAUGGAGCAGAGACUCACUAGACCCUGAGGGCACUGCACUCAGCUGAGAAGCACUAGAAGCAAAGAUUUGCAGAGGAAGUGAGUUCCAAAUGGGGUGACAUUUAAGACAGAAUCACCCUGCUUUGGGAAAUAUAUCACUUCAACAACAACAAAAAGCAGUGUUACCAACUAUGAAAUGAAAGGAGAUGCCCUUUUGUUUUGUUUCACUGAAGUGAGUUUUUAAAUUAUACUUUUGUAUGUAAAAAAAUUUCUUCAUGGAACCUGUGACAAAACCAUGACAAAUAGCCCCAGACUAAAUUUAAAUUCAUUGGGAUGGCAGUGGCUCCGAGGGUUUCUAUGUUCUCUGUCUUUAAAUUUUUUUGAUUGUCAUAAAAAAUACAUAACAUAAAAUUUGCCAUCUUAACCAAAGAGGGUGGUAGGAAACUGAUUUUGUGAUGCAUAUCUAAACACACACCUGGAAGAUAUUAAUGUAUCGAGACUGAAGGAGCCCGAGAGAGCAAUUUUUUGUGGGAAAAAUUGAUGUACUAUGCAACUUCUUCUACCACUAAAAUGGAGGAAGAGAGAAGGUUCUAUCAUUCACCUUAAGCCAAGUAUGAAAGGGUGCUUUAGUAAAACCACUAAGAGAGCUUGGCAUGUGAACCUGGAGUUUGAGGGGGCUGCAUAAAUUCUGGCAAGAGAAACUGGCUGUGUUGAACUAGAGUGGAAGAUUAUAGAGAGAAAAAGCUACAUACAGAGUAAAUUGCUUCUCACUGACAAGAGGGCAAGAAUGUGUAUUGUCUGUGACCAAAUUUGAAACACAUGUGAAGGUGAUUGCUUGGCGCCAUUUUGAAUUUUGCCCAAGCAUAAUUGAAUUUACCUGGGUUCAUGGUAGGUCCCAGUGGAGAGUCUGUGGGCUGGAAUAGUCCAAUGCCCAGGAACUGAGGGUAGAAACUGUAAGUUGACAGCCAGAGAAAAUGCAUCAUGCAAAAACAAGUUGAAAGGCCUCAGCAGUUAUCUCUGAGGAACCUAUGUAUUUGCCUCAUAAGAUGAAGAAUUCAUCACAUCCAUAAUGCACCAAGAUCAGCUAGCGUCUUUUACCAGUUGUGAUGGUUAAUUUUAUGUGUCAAUUUGACUGGGCCCAUACAUUUGGUCAUACAUGAUUCUAGGUGUAUCUGUGAGAGUGUUUUGGAUGAGAUUAAUAUUGGAAUCCCUAGAUGGAAUAAAGAAGAUGGCCCUCCCUAACGUGGGUGAGUCCCAUCCAAUCAGUUGAACACCUGAAUAAAAUAAAAAUACUAACCCUCCUGUGAGUAAGAGGGAAUUCGUCCUGCCUGAUUGCCUUCAAAUGGGGACAUUAAUUUUUUCCUGUCUUCAGACUUGAACUGAAGCAUCAGCUCUUCCUUGUCUUGGGCCUACUGGCCUUCAGACUGGAAAUACAUCAUCAGCUCUCCUGGGUAUCCUGCAGAUCUUGAGACUUGUCAUACUCCAUAAUUAGAUGAGUAGCCUAAAGCUCAAAGUGAAAACUUUCCCAAGAUCACACACCUAGCAAGUGUUGGAGUUCAGCUGCUAUGCAAACUGAGAAGGACCAAAGGUAUUCUUAGAUAAAGUAAGUAGUAGUAUUUACAGCACUUUUGAAUCUGGGAGAAAGUGAAGUACAGACAGAUUAGUAAACAAAGAACUGUGAAUCCUUAGAUGGCUCCACCAACUAAUCAAUUCGAGUCGAUUAUUGCCUUCCCAGUUCUGAAUUAGGAUGCUUGCUUGCAGUGUGACUUAUUUAGUCAGCAUUAUUUUACGACUCUACAAUUUUCUCUCUUUAUCUGAAAUGAUCCAGCCUAAAACUCCCUGAAAAUGCCGGGCAUUAAGUAUAUCACAAUGGUAAUUCUUUUGACUGAAGCCUUAUUUGAUUCAGUGGAAAAUGACUUCAGUGUAUUGGAUUUACAGUUCAUUUAAUGAGUGUUGUAGAGGUCAAUACAUUAGUGUAAACUUGGUUCAGGUAGUAAUUUGGUUUCUAAUGAGGUUCCCAAGCAGCAUCCUACUAUGAAAAGUAGGAUAGUGCUCAGUGGGCAUAGAAUAUAACUGUCUAAUCAGACAUAAGAAAUGUGCCAGUUGUAUACUACAAUAAUGCUAUGAUUGUUUGACUUCUUUAGGAUUCAGUUUCCAUUUCUGUAAGAUGAGCAGGUUAAACAAAGGCCCUUGAAGCUCUGAACUGUUUUGUAUUUUCUCGGUAAUCUUAAGAAAUCUCCCAUCUUUAGGACAUGUGCUUUGUAAUGGAGAUGGAUUUGCAUGAGCCAUUUGUGCUGUGAUAUGCACUCCAUACCAAAACCAUGGCUCCACAAAACCUUGUCUGACAAUUGAGUUGUGUUUCUGAAUGUCUUGCAAGCAAGACAAUGACUGCUUGUUGUUCUGGACUAUUUUCUUUAGGAUGUUUAUAUAGGGAAAAGCUUGGCAAUAUGGAGAUAAUGUCUAUGGAACAAAGGGAAGGCAUGCUUACUGCCUAUUAUGAAUGAUUCUAUAAGCUCAAGUUCUCUAAGUUCAGGGUGCCUCUCCUGUAAUGCAACCCACUUCAUGCACAGAUGACAUUUGGUCCUCCUCACAUUGCCCUGUUGGAAUCUGCACUCCAAAACCAAUGCAAAAAUGACGAUACUCUGGCCACUGCUGUUGCUGUGAGUGAUAAAUUUUCUUUCAUCUGUCAUCUAGGAGUCUCGUAUUUACUACUGGUAUCCAUGAAACUGUAGUAGGCCAACUUGCUAGUUUGAAAGUAGAGUAAAAUCUCAGACCCUUCAAGGUCCUUGACAACCCUAGUCCACAGUCACUUUCCUCUUUUAUUACCACUAUAGCACCUAGCCUCUGAACAAUCCAACUCAAAACACAUUAUGUCUUUUGUUGAAUUGUUUUACAUGUUAAUUUUAUCUCCCAACUAGAUCAUAAGCAUGCGAGAGAGGCACCAUGCCAAUGUUUUUUCUGUCUACCCUGUAGCAGCUGGCACAGGCAUGGGUACAUAGUACGGGCUCAAUAUAUAUUUUUGAUUUACUUUGGUUAUAUGCAUACCAGCUGAAGUAAAAUACUCCAUGCUUUUUAUCAUUGAACUUGCCUUGGAUGUCUUCUUAUAGUUGAAAACAAUAGAUGUACUCUCCUAGAAAUAGAAAAGCUCUAAUGAGAGAUGAAGAAACCAUUUUUCAGGCUUCUAGGAUGCAAGGCAUAUACAUUCUUUAAUCAGUUGGACAUCAUUGACUAAGGGGCCAAUUACAAAGCUAUUCUGAGUCCCACAUUUCCCAAGAUGUUUGUUGUGCUGGGCUGCUAAUAAUUAUCAUGUUUUGGCAGCUGAAGAACUAGAAUAUAGUCUCUGUUUUUGUAGAAAUCAAUGGCCCCAGGAGGUUAUCUAUACCAGCCUACUGUCUGCAACAUCAGUGGGAGCUUAUUUGGCAUUUGAUACCAAUCCCAGAAGAGGAUAUGAAUCCCUGAGUGCAUUUCCCAAUGGCACACGCUCGCUUCUUGUUUUCUUGUAAGUAUCCUAUUAUUAAUGGCCCAUUAUACCAGAAACAAAAAUGUCUAUAUACGCAUUUUCAUUUAGUCUGUCAUUGUUUCCAAUGGUCUGGAUUAUUCGAUUAGUCUCAAUCCAGUUUUCUUUGAGGGAAUAUGGAGACACAAGAGUUGUCUGUCUUUAGUGCUAAAACAUUAAAACUUAGGGCUCUUUCUUAUGGCUAUAGCCUUGAAGAUGCACUCCUUAGCUCCAUAACAUUGUGUUCUUUUCUUUUCUUUUCUUUCCCUUUUCUUUUCUUCUUUUCUUUUCUUUCUUUUCUUUUCUUUUGUUUUCUUUUUUUCUUUCUUGUUGUCAGGACUGCAACACACUCUCAAUUCAGUCUUCCUGAGUGCAACUGAUACAAUUUUACAGAUGUGGCAUGGUCAUCAUUUUCUAACUUUAGCUUUGCUAAUCUGGCAUUUUCUAACUUUAGUUUUGUUAAUUCAGGCUGUUCCUUCUCACUUAAAAAUAUUUCCUCUUAUUUGAAUUUGAGUAUGCUGCCACCAAGUGGUUGCCCGUUCUUUGAUUAACAUGGUCUCAUAAUUCAAACUGCAGGCUGCACUGUUUCUAUUGCUGUUGUUGGUGUAUGUGUCAGGAUUGGGAUAGUGAAUGCCUAUUAAUAGUUGAAGGUAUCAGGUAUUAGAGGGAAUUAGGGCAAAUCUUCAUGAAACAGCAGGAAGAUAUUGAAAAAUAAAAAUGGGCUGUAACUUGAGGAGGGGAGAGGAAGGGCAGUAUGUGUCCAAAGAAUGAGAUCAGGAUUAGAGGAGAUGUGGAGUAGAGGGAACAGAGAAAUAAUAGGAAAAAGGGAAAAUGACCCAGAUUUAAGAGAACUUGAUCGCUGAAACAAUUUUCAUCUUUUGUUUCUGUACUUCCUAUGGUUCUUGUACUUAUUAGGGACUACAAAUACCAAGAUAGAUGCAUUAUCUUGAGCAGGAUUCUGUCUUGUAUAUAUUUGUAUCCCUCACAGUGUCUAAUGUAGUGCUGGGCACAUAGUUGGUUCUUAAUAAAGGUCUGCAUGAAUGACCCAAACCUGCAAGAGUUGAGACAAUAUAUAGUGUAGGCAAGGGGUGCUGGCUUGAGGCACAGGGGCAGCUCCUAAUGAGCAAGCCUUGACAGUGUCUUGCCUCUAUCAAGCUGAUGCCUUGCACAACUUUAGCUGGCUCCUAUGAUCAAUCUUCCAAAUUAGAACCUUCUCCAAAUCUUCUCAGGAAGGUACUUACAUGCCCCCUCCUUCCUCCUCCACUACCUUCUCCAUUCUUUCCUCUUCUCCCUCCUCCUCUCCUUCCUCUACUCCCUCCUUUUCUUCCUCCUCUUCCUCUUUCUCCCCUUCCAAGGCUCUUGAUGUCUUCAUACCUCUGAACAAGUCUGGGUGGUUGGAAACAGAUGACCUCUGGAAGCUUUUGAUUGGAGGAUGAGAGAUCUAGAGUUCUUUCCAUUCGUAAGAUGUAUAGGGAAUGACUGUAUAGGGCUUUCAAAAAAUGCAUAUGAAAAUUGGGGAUUGUUCUAUGUAAGAUGUUUGCUGAAAUUAAUACCUUAGACACAGUCUCCAGAAAGGGGUUUACUCCUGCAUGAUAACAUGCAUGCUAUGUUAUCUUUGGCCUUGGCUAGUAUAUGUUCACAUGACUACUUUUUUCAAGAUACACACUCCCAGAUCUCAAUCUUUACCCAAAUAUUAUAAUUCAUGAAUAUCUGGUGAAAGUGUCCUGUGUGCACUUCCCCUAAUGCAGAAAUGAAAUCCUUGAAGACGAUUGUUUUAGUAAGCAAGUAUGACCUUAGUCACUUGUUUACUUGCUUUAGUAAGACCUGUUUGGCACCAUAAACAUCCACAUAUCUAACACAGAAUUUCCCAGGGAGGUUCCACGUGGAGCAGUAUAGCAUGGUGGAUAAGUGUGAGGGCUUGGGACUACUGACUGCUCAAAUUUUACCUCUGUUGUUUGAUGUUGGGCAAGUCAAUUAAUCUCUCUCUGUGCUUCAGUUUACUAACCUGUAAAAAAGGCUAAUAUAAAUUACCUUACAUGGCUGUUAUGAAGGUUAGGUUAAAUGACAAAACACAUGUAGUGUGCUUAAGCACAGUGCUUAGCAUAUAAUAAGUAUACAAUUAUUGGUAGUUAUUAUAUAAAUUUCUUCCUUGAACAUAAACUUUGGGAAGUGAUGGCCCUGGAUAGUGUCUCUCUUACUAUCAUGUCCUUGUGCUCAGCUUCUGAGGCUUAUGAAGAUGCCCUGGGCACAGAGACUCAGGCUGUCUCCUGGCCCACAGAGUGCGGAACAAGUGGGAGCUUGUAAGCUAAGUAGGAUGUCAUUUUGAGUCACUGCUGCUCUAAUCUCUUUAGACAGUUCUGAAGAACAAUUGGAUUCCCUUCAGUUUUAAUUUCCCUACCUUCUCAGAUAAAUUUUCCAAAUGUCCACUUCCCAUUUCUUCGAUCAAAGCCAGAGUUGAAGGAAGCUGGCCUUCAAUCUCCAACCAGGCUGAGAGCACCAUUUGAGCUCAAGAGCAAAUUGUAUUGGAAAAGAAGCAGAACCACUGACUAAAAUGAAUUGUCAUUAAAUGAGGCUUUAAAUGAAACCACAAGGCAGAGCCUCAUCCUAAUUGGCAGUGGAGUUAAUCGGGUAAGAGGCCAAUUCCAGAUGUCCCAUUGCAGAACUUUUAAAACUCGCUCCCUGCUUCUUUUACUUUCUGCCCCUAACCACCUCUUUCCACCCUCACACCGCCUUUGAAAGAUGAUGAUCAUUGGGCAAAGAUAACACUGAACUAUUUAACAUCUUUUUAAAAUCUAUAAUCUAUAAAUUGAAUGCAGGAAUAGAAAAUGUCAGAACCAUGAUACAAUUUGAAAUGUUUCAUGUGGUAGGGUGGAUAAUGGUACCCCAAAUAUGUCCAUGUUCUAAUCCGUAGACUGAAUAUGUUACUUUACAUGCAAAAUAAACUUUGCCUAUGUGAAUAAGGUAAGAAUCUUGGUACAGAAGGAUUAUCCCAGAUUAUCCAGGUAGGCUCAGUGUAAUCACAAGGGUCCUAAUGAGAGAGAUGAGGAAAGAGUCAGAGGCAGAGGAGCAGAUAUGAUGACAGAAGCAGAGAUUGGAGUGACGACAUAGAAGGUGGAGGAAGGGGCCAAAAGCCGAGGAAUACAGGCAGGCACAGGAAGCCACUUGUCAGCUGAAAGAGACAAGUAAAUGGAUUUUCCCUUCCAAGCCUCCAGAAGGAACUAGCCCUGCCUGCACCACAACUUUAACCCAGUGAGACCCAUUUCAGACUACUGACCUCCAGAACCAUAAGAAAAUAAAUCUGUGUUGUUUUAAGCCAACUGUCUCCCAAAUACUCCCAGAUAUGCUGUAGAGCUGGAAAUUUCCCAAAUUAGAAGUAUUGCUUUGGAUGAUAUCAAUGAAGGACACAAUUGUUAAAAAGCUUCCACUGAAAUGCAAAGGGAAAUGUGUUAGGCAACAUUCAACCUGUUAUGCCUUGAUCUGACUGGCUGGCAGAGAGCACGGAAGAGGACCCAAGAUGCAGGGAUUUCUGGGCCUUGGGGCAUGAAAUUGAUGGGUGGGAUCUGUGUGGCUGGAUGCAGCAAGUGAUGCCUGGGAUGAGAGGAUGCCACAAGGGAGAGAGCCUGAAAACAAAAUCCCAUUUAUCACACUUCUUCUUGAGUUUUCACCCAGUGAAAAACUCAAUGCUUCGGAUGUGAGCAUCACCUUUGUCACUAAUCCAGCUUCAAACCUGUUCCAUAAAGCUCCUGGUAAGCUUAAAGAAAGAAAUAGCUUUUUGCGCUUAUCUAGACUCACAAACUCUCUGACUUGAGACUGACUUCUCUUUGGUCUACCCUUGUAGGAUUUGGUCUCCUUUUGGUAUUCCAAUGUCUUCCAACUUCUACUGCCUAUUUUGGACUCCUGGUCUCCUCUAACUUCAGCUCUUUGGGCUGCCUGCCAGGCACAUUUCUGUUCUUUCUCAGAGGCUUGAGUGUCCUCCUUCCAAGAAUUCUUUGCCCUAACCUGUAAACCAUUGCCUCCCAGCCCCUGGCACCAAAGCCACCAUUAGACCCUGAUUAGGAGACCUCUCAGAUUCUUUAUGAGAUGACCCUGAGAGGCAAUUAUCCUCCACACUGCACACUUUCCAGAGUACUUUGGCCUUUAUAAUAAGAAGUAGCAGAUUUACAGAUGAAGGAUCUUCAAUCCCAAAACCUGCUCUCUCUGUCUGCAACGAACAUACUCCAUCACUUGCUUUUCCCUACCUCUGAUCUCACUCCCAGAGCACUGCAACGAAAGUCCAGAAAAGUGAGGGUCUUUGAACCCAUUAGUAGCUCCCCAAGCCCCAUAUCCACUUGUAGUUUGAUGAAAAUGAGAAGCAUGGAUCUGAUCAGUUGGGCCUUUAUAGAUGCAUGUCAGAUCCACAUGAAUAAUAUGAUCUUCGAGCAACCCAGAAAGGAGAGAGUUUCUGUUUCUCAAGUCCCUUGCCUCAGAGUCAAUACAGUGAUACCAUCCAAGAAAGGAUCUGUAGCCUAGGAUAUAUAACAGAUUCACUUAUUAUGCUGUCAGGACGCCUGAGGCAAAUCCAUCCAAAUGUGAGUGCUGACUUCUUAGGAACUGGACAAGUGAGCUCAGGUACUGUAAAGGAGCACCUAUGACUUGUUUACCAGGUCUAAGUUGCACAAUCACAAGAGCCCAAGAAUAUCAAAUAAUCCACAUCAAAUUUUCAAACAGCCAGACAUGAUAUGUUCUCAAUUCCCAGGCCACGUUUAUUAUUAAAUGAUGUUCUAGCCCUUUGACAAUACCUGCUAUUAGAACCAGGGCUUGGGUGGUGGUGGAACAGGCCACAGUGGCAUAGACAAGACCUGGGAAUUCAGGAAGUUUUCCUUGGUCAGGAGAAGUCUGCGGCUGGGACAAGUAUGAUGUAGUUUGGAUGUUUGUCCCCUCGAAAUCUCAUUUUGAAAUGUAAUUCCCAAUGUUGGAGGUGGGGCCUGAUGGGAGGUGAUUGAAUCAUGGAGGCAGCUCCCUCAUCAAUAGCUUAGCACCAUCCACUUGGUGAUAAGUGAGUUCUUGCUCAGUGAGUUUGCAUGAGAUCUGAUUGUUUAAAAGAGUCUGAGACCUCCCCCCACCUUUCUCCUGCUCUCACCAUGUGACAUACCUUGCCUGCUCCUGCUUUGCUUUCCUCCAUGACUGUAAGCUUCCUGAGGCCCUCACCAGAAGCCAAGCAGAUGUUGAUGCCAUGCUUGUACAGCGUACAGAAAUGUGAGCCAAUUAAACCUCUUUUGUUUAUAAAUUACCCAGUCUCAGGUAUUCCUUUAUAGUAAGGAUUUAAUUCCAAGGUUUAAUGAUUUGGUUAUUACAGGGUUGAGUACAUGGUGGUUUGACUCCAAAAGUAGGUUCAGAAUCAUAUCAGACCUAAGAGGGAUAAGAGCAGGUAAAAUGUGAGAAUAAGUUUCCACGGUGACAAACUGAACCGAGAACCUGGCUAUUGGCCAAGCAGGAGUGAGGCAGUUGACCAAUGGCCAUCUAAGUAGCUGGCAAUUGCCGGAGUUCAGAUUAGCAGCUGGUGAAUUAUCAAGGAAUGAUGGCAGUGGGUAUUAGGGAUUCAGUUCCAGAUUCAGAUUAGGAAACAGAUUUUUUUGUGUGUAGGAAAUCUAGUCCUAAUACUAGGAUACCAGGCAAGGAAUUAGACAUCGGGGAGGAAAGACAUGGAAGGGCUCCAGUUAUGAAGGUACAUAUAUUCUGUGUCAGUAGAAAAAUAUGACUCAGUGCUGCUUUGCUGAAUUAUUUUCUUCAAACGCUUCCUGAUUGGUGGCCUCUUCCAGCCUAUUAUUCACAAUAUAGCCAGAGUGAGCUUUUCAACACUCUAAGCUGAUCGCAUUGUUUUAAUUGCUCUUAGGAUAAAGACCAGAUGCGUUAUCAAUCUCUAGAAGGUUCUGCAUGGUUUGGCUCUUGCCUGCAUUUUUAGCCUCAUCUCCCACCAUUUCUCCUUUCACUCUUGGCACUCUAGCUGCACUGGUUUUCUAUAAAAUCCUCAGGUCUCUACUGUCUCUCAGAGCUGUUGCACAUUGUAAUUUCUUCUGCUCAGAGUGUAUGUUACCCCUUUUGUCAUCCUUCCAGUCUCAAUUUAAAUGUCACAACAUCAGGAAGGUCUUCUCUGAUUUGUUUGUCUAAAGAAAUGACCCCUUAUUCUUUAUAAUGGUUCUACUGACCACCAUCAUUUACACUUACAAGUCACACCCACUAACCUUGCCUACCAGGACCAGCGAGCUCACCACCUCCUGUGUACCACUUUCAUCAGUGUUACCUCCCCAAUAUCCUCAUCAUUUCAACACAAUUCCCCACUGUCAUGCACAUCACCACACCCUCUAGCUCCACCCAUCACCACCAACCUCAUCCACCCCUUCUAUAACCCAUGCUCCCCUUUGGCCCAUCUCUCUACCAGUCCCGAUUAGCCACACUCAAAAGCCCCACACAUUACCAUCAGCCACGCCAUCCUUUCCUCAUCAAGCAGUUCCAAACACUAGCAGCCCUACCCCACCACCUCUCCUGAUGAGCACGGGCCCUCCUGCUUACAGUUCAGGCAUCAGCCAGCUUCAGUGAUGUCUUCCUUGACCAUUCAGUCUGGAUAAGGUUUCCUUGUUUUCACUUCUCAUAGCCCCCUCCCUGCCCUUCUUCUUCAUAGUUCUGAUCACAAUGCUAAUCAUACAGUACUUUAGGUAACUGUGCUUAGUGGUCAUCACCCUCACAGGUUUAUGUCUAUUUAUUCAUUGCUAUUUCCCUUGUACCUAGACACACAGUAUAUCUAAAAAAAAUAAUGCUGAAUCUUGUUGUAUCAAGUGUUACAGAUUAAAAAGCCCAAGGCUCUAAUCAGCUAAAUAAUGUACUCAGGGUUGGAUGUCUAAGUGCCAGAGGUGGGAUUCAAACCCAGGUCUGGCUGACUAUAAAUCCUGUGGUUUCUUAACCGUUAUAUCAAUGGUUUUUGCCAGUCCAGCAGCAUCAGCUUCACUUGGGAACUCAUUAGAAAAUGAUAGACUGGAUUAAGAAAAUGUGGCACAUAUACACCAUGGAAUACUAUGCAGCCAUAAAAAUGAUGAGUUCAUGUCCUUUGUAGGGACGUGGAUGAAAUUGGAAACCAUCAUUCUCAGUAAACUAUCACAAGAACAAAAAACCAAACACCGCAUAUUCUCACUCAUAGGUGGGAAUUGAACAAUGAGAUCACAUGGACACAGGAAGGGGAACAUCACACUCUGGGGACUGUUGUGGGGUGGGGGGAGGGGGGAGGGAUAGCAUUGGGAGAUAUACCUAAUGCUAGAUGAUGAGUUAGUGGGUGCAGCACACCAGCAUGGCACAUGUAUACAUAUGUAACUAACCUGCACAAUGUGCACAUGUACCCUAAAACUUAAAGUAUAAUAAAAAAAAAAAAAGAAAUGCAAAUUCUCAGGUUCUGCCUCAGAUUUACUGAAUCAGAAACCCUGCAGGUGAGGCCCAGCACUUUGUGUUUUAACAGGUCCUCCAGGUGAUUCUGAGGCCCAAUCAAGUGUGAGAACCACUGCUCUACAUGACAUUUCCCAUUAUAUGGUUUCCACUUGGUAAAAGAUCCAUGUUGUUCUCGGUCUAUGCAAAUAGCCCUAAUGCUACCUAGCAUGGGGCUCAGUAUAUGAUAGGUUUUUAAUAAGUAUGUGUUGAAUAAGUGAAUUGAGCUCUUGGGUACACUAGAUUUUGAAAGACAUGAGUAGGGUUUUUUUUUUUUCAUCAAAACCACAGAGGGACAGUGAAAAUACCAUUGAAAGCCUAAUAUAAGGGACAUGACACUUGCCUGGAGAAAAGUUUUCAAAAUGAAAUUAUUUAUUACCUUCUCCUUUCCCACUCCUCCUUUCAGGUCAGUCUUUUCUAUGAAAAGAUCGUCUCUGACCCCUGUGGUUCAUAUUGAUAGCCCUCUUAUUUGGCUUCUUUGCAGCAUUUAGUGUAUCACUUAAGCUAUCCUUGGAUUAUAUGUGAUGAUGCAUUUUUUGAGUGUCUCAGAUAUAUAAAUCAUAGUCUCCAUAAUGAAACUAUAUUCUCUUUAGCACAUGGACUGUGUCUUUUCUUUUUCCUCUUCUAGUUUCUACCAUGGCCUUAAUAUAUAGUAAGAUGUUGGGAUAAUGUUUUAAUAAAUUCUCCUGUGUGUGUUUGUGUGUCUGUGUGUGUGCUUAUACCUAGUCCUUUCCAUAUUCAGCAAACACAUUCAUCACCUAAGAGAAAGGCUGUUAUAGUAGAAGAGCAGAAGACAAAAAAAAGUAAAUUUGUAGCCUUUGAGUUUUAAAAGCCUAUUUAGAAUUUCAGGAACUAGAGCUUUUGAGCUUCAAAGGCCCGAGUCCUAAAGAACCCAGAAAAUGCACUUCAUGACAUACACACUAGAUUUGAAAGGAUACAGGAUAAGUUAAAGCCUGUUUUCCUCUUCCCCAAACUAGAUGAAGAUCCUAUCAGAUAUGAGAAAAGUGAGAAUUAGAACAAAAGAGUGAGUCCUUAGUGAGUCCCUUAACAGAGGUGCUGUAACAUGAUGUUGUGGACUAAGACCCAAAUUGAAGAAAUAUGAAUAAUACAACCCUCAAUGGGGCAUGGGAGUAGAGAAAUCUGAGAGCAGAUGAGACUGUUUCUUGCCUCUCCCCAUAUAGAGGUUUUUGAACAGUUUCCCUGAACCUAGCCUGACACUAGAGCAGUAGUGUUGACUGCAUGUAUUCUAUGUCAGGAGACAGGGCUUGAGACCACCUCACAAUUCCCUAGACUCUGGGGAGGUAUUGGAAGAACCGAGUGUUUUCUAAAUACCCACAAGGACAUCUCGAGACCUGAGAGAUCUUAAUCUCAAGGCUAAGGAGGCACAGCAGUGAUCUGAGUGCUUCUGUAACUGAUGCCUGGGUGGAAUUUGAAUAUCCCUAGAACACAUGCAGAGAGAUAACCAAGGCCACACAUGACAAUACACCUCUCAGUGGAUUCCAGGGUGAACAACAGCAGGCAACUGAAGAUCAAACACUUUCUGCUUGUCUUAGCCACAAUCCCAGAGAUUGUGGGGAGUGCUUGAAUUGACUGGAGUUAAGGUUUAUACUACUUGGAGGAAUAGGUGCUCAAAAUAGACCGAGAUAUUAGAAAAACAUUCUUGUGCAUCUGAUUUUGUGAGUUGACAUUUCUUUUUUUUUCUUCUCUUCUCUCUCUUUUUUUUUUUUUUUUUCUGAGAUGGAGUCUCACUCUGUCACCCAGGCUGGAGUGCAAUGGCGCGAUCUCAGCUCACUGCAACCUCUGCCUCCCAGUUUCAAGCGAUUCUCCUGCCUCAGCCCCCCGAGUAGCUGGGAUUACAGGCGCACGCCACCAUGCCUGGCUAAUUCUUAUAUUUCUAACAAAGACGGGGUUUCACUAUGUUGGUCAGGCUGGUUUCAAACUCCUGAUCUUGUGAUCCACCUGCCUCAGCCUCCCAAAAUGCUGGGAUUACAGGCAUGAGCCACUGCACCCGGCCCACAUUUCUAUCAAUUCUAUCAAGGCACACUAUAUUUGGUCAAUUGGAUUGAAUUGAUGAACAAGAUCCUUUUUCCUGAGGACAACAUUGAGGAGAAAAGUGAAUCAGAAAACAAAAAGCUUAUCAGGUGUGGUGGCUUACGCCUGUAAUCCCACCACUUUGAGAGGCCAAGGCAAGAAGAUCGCUUGAGCAUAAGAGUUUGAGACCAGCCUUGGCAGCACAGUGAGACCUUGUCUCUACAAAAAAUAAACAAAAUUAGCUGGGUGUGGUGGCACACACUUGUAGUCCCAGCUACUUGGGAGUCUGAGGUGGGAGAGGAUCUCCUGAGCCUGGAAGGUUGAGGAGCAAUGAGCUGAGAUCAUACCACUACCACUACCACUGCACUCCAGUCUGGGCAACAGAGCAAGGCCCUGUCUCAAAAACAAAAAUAGAAGCUCCUGCUGGGGAAUUGGGUAAAUUAUUGAAGUGCUCCCUGAGCUGUCUUUGCCUCAAUAUGCUUUUAACCCAACACUUCUCAACUUUUCUAGUCCUUGAUAGUGACAGUGGUGUUCCAUAUACUAUGUUAUACCUAGUUAGGCAAAGUAGAGUCUAGCUAUAGCUACUCAACUACUUACUAAGGCAGGAGAGUUAACUCAGCAUUUCAGAGUCUUCAUACAUAUUCAGAGAUUGAAACAAGAAGUUUUAAAAUAACUCCCAGACUCCCAACUGUACAUGUAUUUACAAAUGUAUGACUUGAUCAUUGAUUUUUAGAAGGUAAACAGAACCAGACAAGUUCAUAUUUUUAACUAGGUUAUAGCCUGAAUAUUGUAUUCGGAAGGACCAUGUUAUUUAUUAAACUGUGUGAGGCUGCCAUGAUUAUGCUGUAGAUAGGCAGAGGUCUCCAGAGUCAAUUGGGGUUGUUGAAUCACAUUCAGCGAAUGUCCUUCCAUCUCAAUUGAAGAAGCUUGCUAUUGAGGGACUCCCCUGAAGUAAUCAAUUAAAAGCAGUAGCAUUAAGCAGCUAAUGGUGCUGAGAAAUCAAUACUGGUAUGGGGAAGGAACAAUUCCCUGCAAUGAUUUCUAUGCAAAUUCUGAUUCUUAUACCUAAUGACAUUAGGAUUCACUAAUGACACAUAACUCAAGGAAUUGCUUCUUUCCCAGUUAAGCAUGAAGCACAUUUUUGCCCCUACAACCUUGGCGGCCACUUGGGCAGCUUACUUCUGUUGCUGGGAAGCAAUAGAUAAAGGUAAGGCAGCCAAACUUUCUAUGGGUCCCUCUUGUGGGAGAGGAGAUCUGAUAGAAAUACUGACUUUCUGAAGAUUGGAAUGGGUUCCUGAAAGGGCGAGGACCAUUCAUUCUUUCAUUCAGUGAGCAUUUGUCUGCUCUGGCCCUGUGCCUUUAACUGCUCCAUCCCCACUCAUGACCAAGGUAGUCCUAUCAAAGAUACCUAUAGCUCAGCCCAAACUGCUUUGAGACUCUCUCUACUUUCUCCCAGAGUAGAUUCCACUACUUUCUCCCAAUAUUAAAUAUUGUAGUGGGCAUGCAUUUUACCCCAAAAUAUAGAGUGAAAUAAAUAUUUCUUUUAUUCUCUAAAUAUCAAUCUGCUCAGAGACCAUACCCUCCCCCCAGAUUUGAUAGAACAUUUAAUCUCAGUCAUUGUGGAGGCCUCCAUGUCCAUGUUAAGUACUAAGCAUUUGGACCAUCACAGGGAAUCCUCAGAUCUUCAGUUUUUCACACUGGCCAUCACUGACAUACUCAUUGUCCAAGCCUGUAUGGUCUCUUCAAGGCUAGCAGCUCUGCUGCUUCUGGACCAAGCUGAGGCACAGGGGAUUCUGUCCAGGCUGGGAGUCCUGAACUGGUUUGGGUCUAGUCUUUCUUGGAUAUCACAUUGCCAUUUUUCUCCGAUGUCCUGUCACCUCCCUGGGCACUGUCAAAGAACAGGGUGUCUAUAUACUCUACUUGUAGAAUCUGUAAAACUCCAGUAACCCUGUCUGUUUUGAGAAUACUGUCUUGAAGCUCUUAUAGGUACUUCUAUAUCUCUGUUUUCCAAACCUCAGAGCCACUUCCAUUGUAGAACAGUAAUUUAGCUCUUUGUUUCCUCUUGCCUUGGCUUUAGAACUCUGCAUCCUCUUAACUUUGAUCUGGAGCAGUCGAAUCUUUGGGUCAUAUUGCACCAGGUAGGCUGUGUGCAUGUACGCAAGUAUAUGUGUGUGUUAUGGGGAGGGGUGCUCAUUCUUUCUGAGUUUUCCCUUUCUCAUCCUCCCUUCUCUUCCACCCCCUACACCUAGCAAACUUAUAACUAUCCUUCAAGUCUCAGCUUAUAUGUAGUUCUUUCAGAUUAGUUUGUCAUGCUCCUCUACUCUAAAUAGUCCCUUUUAUACACAUGUAUAGCACCCUGUAGCUAUUCUAUGUAGCACUUGCCAUAAUGGUAAUGAGUUAUCAGGGUGAUUGUUAAUGUUUGUUUUUUUCCCAUGUGUUUGUAAGCUCCAUGAUAAAAGGGACUGUUCUUUUUUGUUCAUUGUUAUGUCCCUAUCCCCUCAUAAAAUAUCUGACAUUUAGAUGUUGUAAACAAAUGUUGAAUAAAUGAAGUGAUAUCUUUCCAUAUUUUAGAAGUAACAACAGAGAAAUGAUUUUCUAAUUUUUCAUUCUUUAAAUUUAUAUGGUGUUGAUAGCUUGUACAAUGAAAAUAGAUAGUACAUGCACUAUCAUAGCAAAAGAGUUGGCAUAAAGUUGUUUGUACUAUCUUCCUCUUAUCUUUUUAACACAUAAUAUCUGUAGUGAUGUCUCCUUUUUCAUUCCUGAUAUUUCAUUCCUCAUCUUGGUAAUUUGAGCCUUCUCUCUUGGUCUUUAUUGAAAUACAGUAAUUAUAUUCAUCUAAAACAUCAUUAAGAUAAUGAAAAGGCAAAUUAGAGUGGGAGAAAAUAUUUAUAAUAUACAUAACUUGCAAAGGACUUGUGUCCAGAAUAUAUAAAUAACUCCCACGGAUAAAUAAAAAACGACAGAUAACCUAAUUAAAAAUUAAGGACUUGAUCAGGUAUUUCAUCAAAUAGUAUACUGACAUGUUUAGCAAGCAUCAUUAGUCAUUGGGGAAAUGCAAAUUAAAACCACAAUGAGUGACCACUACACGUUUAUCAGAAUAGUUAUCAUUAAAAAGACAAACAACAGCAAGUAUUGCCAAGGAGUGGAGUGAGUGGAACUCUCAUAUGCUGUUGACUGCAGUGUAAACUGGUACAACUACUUUGGAAAACUGGCAGUAUCAAUUAAAGUUGAAUAUAUGUGUACCCAAUGACCUAAUAAAUCCAUUACUAUGCAUAUACCCAACAGAAAUGCACACAUUUGCACCAAAAGAUGUGCAAAAUGUUCACAGCAGCAUUAUUUGUAAUGGCACCAAACUAAAAAUAAUCUAAAUGUUCAUCAACAUUAGAAUGGAUAAAUUGUGGUAUAUUCAUACAAUGGAAUAUCACACAGCAAUUAAUAAGAAAAAAAUACUACAACACCAAGCACAAUGGAUGAAUCUCACACAUAUAAGAUUGAAUAAGAAGCCAGAGAUAAAAGAGAAUACAUUUAUAUCAAGUUCAAGCACAGGCAAAAUUAAUCUAUGGUGAUAGAAAUUAGAAUAAUGAUAGAAGACCAAGAGAAACAUGAGAGAGACUUUUGGAAUACUGAUAAUGCUCUGAGUCUUGAUCUAGGUGAUGGUAACAUAAGUGUGCUUACUUUAUAAAAAUUAAUCUGUAUAAUUAAGAUUUACAUUUUUUGUAUGUUAUAUUUCAAUAAAAGUUUAUAACAAUAGAUAGAAUAAAUGCAUUAAAAGAGAGAGUGACACUGGAUGAAUUUUAAUGUUCCUUCUAGUUCUAACAUGCUAUGAAUUUAUGUUUGAAAAUUUUUUGAAAAUAAUAAAAUCCUUGACAAGUAUAAGGUCUUUUAUGAUUAUCAGUGGUAGUUGACCCUGAAUUCCUCAUGAUUUCCUGAUCAAGUCAUGAAAAAUAAUUUGCUUAAAGUUUUAUAUCUUUGUUUCCCAUAUGAAAAUGUAAGUUACCUCCCUUUCUGGAUCUUCUUCAUUUCCUAGUUUCUUUGGAAUUUUUUGGUGAAGACAUUGAAUGAACCACCAGAGGCAAAUACCAUGGAGAGUAAUCCUGAUUACUCGUAUAGUUUGAGUUGGCAAGAAUGAUGGCAAAGCCCCUGAAUGCAAAAUGCAAGGUUUAAGGAGAAUGCUUCAGGAUUCCUUUAAGUCAUCUGUGGCUUUGGGUUCCCCAGACUAUGUUUUCUACUUCAAUGCAUAAUGCAGCAGUGGAAAUAAUAAUGAUUUUCCCAAACACUUGACCUCCGUUAGGAGUCAAUUUUAAUGUUAGGAGAAAGUGGUGCAAUAAAAGACAAAUAAAGUACAUUUAGCAUUCAUUUCCAAAUGUAGUCAUUCAAAUAGCAACACCUUUAUCAUUGUCAUCACUUUCUUUUUUCCUUAGCCUUACCAGUAAAACUCCAUUAAUGAAUCUACACAGUUGAAAAAGUGGUAGACUUAUUCUGAAAGAUGAGGCUUUGGCUUUACUGAAGCCAUUGAGCUUGCUUAGAACACACUAUUCAUUUUUUUCUUGGAAGCUUUUCUCUCUUUCAGAUAUUCAUUAAGAACUCAAAUUUCCUGGUAUCUAAAUCAAAGUAUCCUUUAAAGGUAUAUCACCUUCCUAAUUCUUAGCCUGGAAAAAAAUGUCAGAAAAUUCUUUAAACUCAUUUAGUGAAGUAUUUUAAAUGCUCAUCUUGCACUUUUGAGUGAAGUGUAAUUUACAUUUCAUAAAAGUAGAAGCCGAGUAGCAAGCUGUAAGUUAUUAUCAUAUAAUUAAAUGUCUACUAUGAAGGGAAUGAAAACGUGGGCUCCUUUGUGCCUUUCGUGACUGGGUUAUGCAAUAGCAAAUUAAAUUACAGCUCUUUAUCUCAGGAAGUCUCCAUGGGACCUACUGAGGGUUUUUAAAAUAUACCCCUGAGUUGCCAAUAUAGUUUCAGCUGAAACCUGAAGCAAUCACUUCACUGUCCAAGCAGACCACAUGGAAAUGGAAUCUGUAGCUUUGGUUUUAGAAUGGAAACCAAAGUGUCUACUCCUCUCAGUAACUUAGAAAACCCCUGUUUCCCUAGGUUAAUAUUUGUAAACAGGAAACACUAACAUGAUAAUUGGUAAUUAAUUAUUACUGUGGAUGAGCUUUAUUUAUUUAAAUUCACAAAGCAGUUGGCUUUAGGGAUAAUAAUCAAAUACUAAAUGCAUUUUAAUUAGUUGAAAUACUCCUAAUCUGAUCUUAUCUAAUAGUCACUUAAAAUAUGCAUUGUGUACUUGCUAAGUUCCAGAUGCUACGGGGCAUCAAAGGGUCAAAAAAGACAUGUUCUCUGCUCUGAAGGUGAUUACAGUCAGGAAGGGGAUAGAAGCUAUGCAUACAAAAAAUACAAUAUAAGGCAAAAUUAGAUAGUUAUCAGAGAAUCCAAGGUGGAGGAGCUCAGAGGAAGGAGCAAUCAUUUCUAUUUUUGGCUAAGUAGAGCAGGUAAGAUUUCAAGAAAAUAGUAUUUAAUUUGGUGGAUAAGGGAUAGAUUUAUUAUAGGAGGAGGUAUUGAGGAGCCCAUGAUCAAUUAUAUAAGUGGGAAACCAGCACAGGGUCUUCAGGGAAUGAAGUAGUUUGUUCCCUUAUUCAACAGUCACUGUGGCAAUUUAUUUAAAUUUGUGAAUACAAUUGUUAAGGUUUACAGACUUUCUUUUCAGUCAAAAGCUAUAAUAUGAUAUUCUUGAUAUUGUUUGGAGCAUUAGAUUCAUGUAGGGGUCUAGUGAGAGAUAUGGAUGAUGUAUUAUUUAAUUCCUGCAUUGCCAUGGAAAUACCUGAGAUGGGGUAAUUUAUAAAGAAAAGAGGUUUAAUUGGCUCACAUUCUGCAGGCUGUGCAGGAAGCAUGGCAGCAUUUGCUUGACUUCUGGGGAAAGAUCAGGAAACUUACAAUAAUGGCAGAAGGUGAAGGGGGAAGCAGGCACUUCUUACGUGGCAAGAGCAAGAGGAAGAGAGCAAGAAGGGGGAGAUAUCACACAUUUUUAAACAACCAGAUCUCAUGAGAACUCUAUCAUGAGAACAGCACUAGGGAGAUAGUGUGAAACGGGUAGAAACUGCCCCCAUGAUUCAAUCACCCCUCACUAGACCCCACCUCCAGCAUUGGGGAUCACAUUUCGACAUAUGUUUUGGGUAAGGACACAGAUCCACACCAUUUCAGAUGACAGUGGAAGUUGCAGCUGGAUUGCAAAGAUGAUUGGUCACCACUCCAAUGAAGACAGACUUUACUCAGAGAAUCAUUCAUUUAAAAAAUUAUUGAUGGACUAUUGUGUACCCAGCAUGUAGAAUACAGUUGCGGAUAUCUUUCCUGCCCAUAGGGAAAUGGGUUUAGUGCAGGAGCUGGUUGAGAGGUGUGAGGGCCCCUCUCUUACAGGAUGUGAGGUGUCAGGAAAGGCACGCCUUCUAGAGAUGGAAAUGUCUGAGUUGAAAUAUAAAGGACAGCAUAGGCUUUUCUGGAAUGAAGAUGGUAGGAAGGUGUUUCAAGCAGAGGGAACCUGUCAAAUCACUGAGGUGUAGAGAACCAGAGAGUUCCUGGUCUUGCUGGGCUUGAACCUAGGGUGUGAACUGAGUUGUAGAGAGUCAAUGCUAAAGGGGUCAAAAAGGGAUCUGAUAGUGAAAUACCCUAUAGAGGCUAUUGCAAUGAUUCAGUUGGAAAUGACAAGACCUUGAGUUAAAAAUAUAGUAACAGGGAAGAAGAAGAAGAAGGCAUACAUUUGAGAGAUAUUUAGGGGGUAGAAUUUACAUGAUUUGCUAAUCAAUUGCAUGUAAGUGAUGAGGUGGGUAAUGGAGAGUGAGUGCGAAUCUCAGGAUUGAACUUUGGUGUCAGGAAGUGCCAUUCAUUGAGGGGGAAACACAGGAGGAUAAGACUUGAUGGGGAAGUCCUGAGCUCAGUUUUACCUAUGUUGAGUGUGAGGUGCCUGUCAGAUACCCAAAUGAAGAUUGGAUAUAUUAUUUGGGGUGCAGGAAUGUAGUUUGUGCUACUGAUAUAGUCUUGAAAGUCAUCAGCAUUAGGAGUUAAAAAUCUGAAUGUCUACAGUAUCCAGAUAGGUGACAUACAUGAAUAAUUCUGUUUGGGGCUGAUAUGGGCCUAAGACAAAAAGAAGAGAUGAGCACAAGCCCUCCCCAAAGACAUUCAAGUUAGAAAUAAAUGUUGGAGGUUUCACCGGGGAAAAUGAAAAAAAAUCUGGUAAGCCAGCCAAACAAAACCCAGCUGCAGGCUGUAUGAAUCUUCAAGCAGCCAAUUUUCCAUACUUGAGACAUACGUAUGCAUAUAGAGUAGAUGUAGCUUUUAUGCAGGGGGAAUAUAUAGAGUACAGAAAAAGGACAAGGACAAAGGUCCAGAGGAGUAACACAAAAAACAAGCAGAUACUCCACUCCAGGUUGGGGAGGGAGAAGAAUGAGAGAAGGGAGAGAGAGAAGAAAAAGGAGAGGGAGAUGGAAAGAAAACCAGAGUAUGGUGUCCAGGAAGCAAGAGGAGAAGAAGAUUUUCAGGCAGGGAAUGGUUAACUGUGUUGAAUGCUACAGACUUAGAUCAAGAUUGUGAACUUUCUAUAGGAAUUUGUACCAUGGAGAGAUUGCUAGCUUGAAAUGAAGCCAUUUCAGUGGUGUAGUGGGGGCUAAAGCCAAACUAUAGUGGGCUGAGGAUUUAAUGGAGAAGAAGAAGUGGAGACUGUGAGUAUAGACAAGUCUUUCAAGAAAUUUGGUUGUGAAUGUGAGGUGAGCAGUUGGGUGGCAGCUGGCUAUUUAUCUGUACAUAUACACUGGGAGAGACAUGAGCAUACUUGUAUGCUAAAGAGAGAGGAUGAAGUUGAAGAUGUAAGAAUGAGAAGGAUCUGUUGAAGAGCUGAGGUCCCUGGAAAGGUGGAAAUAGAAGAGAUCCAGAGAAUAGGUGGAAGGAUUAGCCUUGAGAUAGAAGAAAUGGCACCUUUUCUAUGGAAAUUGAAGAUAAUUUCAUUUAACAAAGAUUUAUGUAGCCUCUGUACCCUGCCAGAUACUGUUCUAGGUACUGAAGAUGUAGCAGUUUGAAAAACCAGGACAAAAAUCCCUGCCUGGAUGGAACUUACAUUCCAGAAAGAAUGAAGUAUGUACAAGAGCAAAUACAUAAAAGCAGGGAUGAAACAUUGGAAAUGUAGUUGAAACAUUCUUAUUUGAUGACCUCAAUUUUCUCUGUGACUGAAGGAAGAGAUCUUAUGUUACUGGACAUAGAAAAUAUUGGAUUGGGGUUUGUGUGAAAGAAGGGCCUAGGAACAGAAAAAGAAACUUCUGAGCAGCAACUAGACUCCUACUUGUCUUGCAGUAGAGGAAUGAUGCACAAACUUUUCUGUAAAGGACCAGAUAGAAUAAUAUUUUCUAUAUCUACAGAAGUCUUGCUGGGAUUUUGAUAGAAAUUACAUUAAAUCUGUUUAUCAACUUGGGGAGAAUUUGCAUCCUUACUGUGCUGAGUUCCCAAUCCAGAACAUGUUAUGUAUCUCUAUUUAUUUAGAUUAUUUUUUAUUUCUUUUCAUUAGCAUUGUGUAGUUUUCAGUGUAUAAGUUCCGCAUGUGUUUUAUUAGAUUUACACUUAAGUAUUGGAUUUUAAAAGGAAUUUAAAUGGUACUAUAUUUUGAACUUCAGUGUCUACAUUUCAUUACUAUUAUAUAGAAAUACAAUUAAUUUUUGUAUCAUUAUCUUCUGUCCUCCAACCUUGCUGAAUUCAUUUACUAGUUUUGGAGGUUUUUGUAGAUUUCUUUGGAUGUUCUCUGUAGGCAUCUUCAAAUCUGGGUAGUUUUAUUUAUUCUCCAUCUGCAUGCCUUUUAUGUUCUUUACUUUCUUUAUCGGACUGGCUAGAUCUUCUAACAUUAUGUUGAGUAAGAGUGGUGAAAUGGACAUCCUUGCCUUGUUCUUGAUCUUAAGGGGAAACUAUCCAGUCUUUCAUCAUGAAGUAUGAUGUUAACUUUAGGAUUUAUGUAGAUGUUCUAUAUCAAGUUGAGAAAGUUCCUCUCUAUAUUUUUCUGAGAAUUUUUGUAGUGAAUUGGUAUUAAUUUUUUCAAACACUUUUCCUGCAUUGAUCAAUAUGUUCAUAUAAGGUUUCUUCUUUAAUCUUUUAAUAUGGUAAAUUACAUUGAUUGAUUUUUGUAAUAUUGUACCAGCUUUGCUUCUGUCUUUAUCCAUUGUUUGUUGCUAUAAUAGAAUACUAUAGACUAGGUAAUUUACAAAGAAAAGAGAUCUAUUUCACUCACGGUUCUGGAGGCUGGCAAGUCCAAGAGCAUGGUGUUGGCAUCUGGUGAGGGUCAUCUCAUGGUGGAAGAUAUCACAUGAUGAGGAAGCACACAGGAAAGACAGAGAGAAAAGAUGGGGGAUAAACUUAUUUUUUAAACUAGGAGCCUGUUCCUAUGAUAACUAAACCACUCCUGUGAUAACAGCAUUAAUCCAUUACCUUUUAAAGACCCCAUCUCUUAAUGUUGUUACAGUGGCAAUUAAGUUUCCAGUACAUGAACUUAUGGGGGACACAAUGAAACCAUAGUAUUCUCUCCUGGCCCUCCAAAUUCAUAUUCUUCUCACAGGUAAAAUACAUUCACUUUAUCCCAAUAGUCCCAAAAGUCUUAACUUUUUCAGCAUCAACUCAAAUGUCCUGAUAUAUAAUAAUGUUUUGUUAUCCUAAAUGUCUCGAAAUAGAGUCACUUACAAAAAGUGACUCAGCCCACAGUGAAGUUGCUGACACAUCAAAGUGAUAAACAUAUAUAUAAUGGACUGAGGUGAUAACACCUACUGUGGCCAGGCACACUCCAGACCUGACAGGAAAGUGAGGCUGAGAUAGUGACCAUGGAUACUCCUGUGGAGGGCCAUAAAAAAAAAAAGAAACUGACCAUGACUAAGAUGCCUAAAGAAACUCUGCCAAUGAGAACUCCAAGGCCUCUUGGUAAUGGCUGCUGGAAACUGCCUUAGAAGAGCAGUGACUUCCCUCACUGGUCAGCAUUUUGAAGGAAAUCAAGAGCUGCCCAGUUUGUCUAUCAGUGUGCUGGUCUCCUGAAUUACUCGCCAUGGUUUGUUCUUCUUCUUUCUUAUUACUGCCUUUAUGUGUUAAAUAUAUUUGCAUGAUUAUUGGUGUGUGAAAGCCUCACAAUAAACCUUAAAUUUGAAAGCACUUAAUUGGCCACUGAGCCACUUUGAAACCUUUCCCCAUUCUUGGAUUUAGAACAACUAGGCUGAUUCAAACCUGACACAAAAAAUCAAAAGUCCAAAGUCUUAUCUGAAUCAGAUAUGAGUGAGACUUAAGGCAUGAUUCAUUCUGAGGCAAAUUCCUUCCAGCUAUGAACCUGUGAAAUCAAAACAAGUUAUCUACUUCCAGAAUACAAUGUGGGACAGGUAUAGGAUAGACAUUUUGAUUCCAAAAGGGAGAAAUAGGCAAAAAGAAAGAAGUAACAAGCCCUAAGUAAGUCCAAAACCCAACAGGGAAACAUUAAGUCUUAAACCUGCUUUGACUCCAUGUAUCACUUCCUGGAUGCACUGAGGUGGGAGUUGGGCCCCGAAGGCCUCAGGCAAUACAGCCCCUAUGGCUUUUCAGGGCUCAGUCUAUCCGGCAGCUCUCAUUGGUAGAAGUUUCAUGUCUGCAGUUCUCCCAGGCUGGCAUUGCAUGUUUGGACCUCUAUAGUGCUGAAGUCUUAAGGGCAGCCCUACCCCUGCAACUCCACUAAGCAUUGCCUUAGUGGGGAAGUUCUCUAUGGUGGCUCUACCUUUGUAGUAGGUUUCUCCCUGGACUUUCAGGCAUUUUGUGGCAUCCUUUGAAAUCUAGGUGGAGGAAGCCAUUCCUCCACAGCUCUUGCAUUCUGUGUAUCUGUAGAAUUAACACCAUGUAGAUGCUGCCAAGGCUUAUGACUUAGACUUUUUGGAGCAGCAAGUCAAGCCAUACCUGGACCCACUGAGCCAUGAGUGCAGCAGCUGAAGAGUGCUGCACCAGAAUGCAGGGAGCAGAGUCCUGAGGAGGCUUUGGGCAGUGAGCCCAUGGAAGACACCCAGGACCUGUCCCCUGAAAUCAUUCUGUCCUCCUAUAGCUCUGGGCCUGUGAUUGGAGGGGCAGCCUCAAAAAUCUUUAAAAUUCCUUCAGGGUCUUUUUCUCCCAUUGUUUUCAUGAAUAGCACCUGGCUCUGUUCUAUCAAUACUAAUCUCUUUAGCAAAUGAUUGCUUGGUCACAAUCUUAGUAUUAUAUUCUUAGCACUAUUUUUUUUAGACAGGGUCUUGCUCUUUCACCCAGGCUGAAGUGCAGUGGUGCAAUCUUGGCUCACCGCAACCUCUGCCUCUUAGGCUCAAGCAAUCCUCCCACCUCAGCCUCCCGAGUAGCUGGGACCACAGGUGCAUGCCACCAUGCCUGGUGAAUUUUUUGUAGAGACAGGGUUUUGCUGUGUUGCCCAUGCUGGUCUCAUACUCCCAAGCUCAAGAAAUCCACCUGCGUUAGCCUCCCAAAGUGCUGGGAUAACAGGCGUGGGCCACUGCACCUGGCCUAUUCUUCAUAUUCCAGAGUAUGCUUUUUCAGUCUUUACAUGGCCAGCCUGUGAAUUUUCCUUAUCUUUCUGUUUGGCUUAUCUUUUUAAGUAUAAAUUUCAUCUUUAAGUCAUUCUUUGGCUUUCACAUCUCGCUGUAUGUGGCUAAAAGUAGCCAUGCAGCAGCCUGAAUACAUUGCUGCUUAGAUAUUUCUUCCAUUAGAUAUCCUAGUUCAUUGCUCUUAAGUUCUGCAUUUCAUGAAGUCCUAGGACACAGACACAAUUCAGCCAAGGUCUUUGCUACUUUAUAACAAGGAAGGUUUUUUCUUCAAUUUCUAAUAUUUUGUUUCUCAAAUCAUUCUGUGACCCCAUCAGAAUGGCCUUUGCUGUCCAUAUUUCUAUCAGCAUUCUGGUCAUGACCACUUCAGUAAUCUCUAAGAAGAUUUAGACUUCCUCUGUAGCUCUCCCCUUAGGAGCCCUCAAGAGAAACUUAAUGCUCUGUUCAUGCCAAUUUAGACUUUUUCUAGCCUGCUGCUCCAAAUUCUUCCAGGCUCUAACAAUUAUUCAGUUCCAAAGCUGCUUCCACAUUUUCAGGCAUUUUUAAUAGCAAUAGCUCCAUUUCUUGGUACCAGAUUUCUGUCUUAAUUUAUUUUCUGCUGCUAUAACAGAAUACUUUAGACUGAGUAAUUUAUAAAAAAGAAAAAGAAAUUUAUUUGGCUUACAAUUCUGGAGGCUGAGAAGAACAUGGUGUGCCAUCUGGUGAGGGUCAGUCCAUGGUAGAAGAGUGGAAGGCAGAAUUGAGCAUGCAAGACAGAGAGAAAAUAGGAGCUAAAUUUAUCCAUUUAUUAUGAGCCUACUCCUGUAUAACUAUCUCGUUGUCAUAAUGACAAUCCAUUCAUGAGAGUGAAGCCCUCAUGACUUACUCACCUCUUUUAUACCUCACCUCCCAAUACCAUCACAGUGGCAAUUAAAUUUCAACAUGAGUUUUGAUGGGGACAUUCAAACCACAUCAGCAUCCAUGGCUUAAACCCUACUUGAGCAUGUUGUUUAAUUACUUUUAUGUGUUGCUGAAUUGUUUUUUUCUAGUACUUUGUUAGGGAUUUUUGCAUCUAUAUUCAUGAGGGAUAUUGUUUGGUACAUUUCUGUACUGUCUUUGUCUGAUUUUCUUAUCAGGAUAAUAUUAGCUUUAUAAAAGGAAUUGAGAAGUGUUCCCUCCUAUUGUCUGGAAGAUAUUGUGUGGACUUACUGUUAAUUCUUCUUUAAAUAUUUCAUUUAAUUCUCCGGUGAAACAAUCUGGACCUGAAGAUUUCUUUUUGUGAAGUUUUAAAAUUAUGAAUUUAAUUUUGUUAUAAUGCCAUUGAAAUGAUAUAUUUUAUAUUGGGUGAGGUUGUGGUAGUAUUUUUUUUGAGAAAUUGGUUCAUAUCAUGUAUGUUGCCAAAUUUAUGUAUGUAGAGAUGUUGGUACUGUUCCCUUUUUACCCUUUUGAUGUCUGCGGGGUCCAUAGUGAUAUCUUGUUUUAUCCCUGAUAUUGAUAAUUCAUCUUUUUUUUUGAGACAAGGUCUCACUUCAACGCCCAGGCUGGGUGAUGCAAUCGUGGCUCACUGCAGUCUCAACUUCCCAGGUUGAAGCAAUCCUCCCACAUCAGCCUCCCAUGUUGCUGGGGGGUACAGGUGUGUGCCACCACGCCUGGUUAAUUAUUUUUUGUACUUACUGUGGAGACAGGGUUUUGCCAUGUUGUUCAAGUGGCUGUCGAACUCCUGGGCUCAAGUGAUCCACCUGCCCAGGCCUCCCAAAAUGCUCAGAUUACAGGCGUGAGCCACUGUGCCUGUUAGAUAAUUUGUGUCUUCUCUUUUUACCUGGUCAGAGGUAAACAAUAGAGGUGUGUCAACUCUAUUGAUCUUUUAAAAGAACUAGCUCUUUGUUUCAAUGACUUUAUUGUUUCUCUGUUUUCAACUUCAUUGACUUCUCUUUUUAAAAUUUUAAAAAAUUUUGUGGGUAUGUUUAUGUAGUAGAUAUAUAUUUAUGGGUUACAUGAGAUAUUUGAUAUAGGCAUGCAAUGUGUAAUAAUUACAACAGAAUAAAUGGGGUAUUCAUCCCCUCAAGCACUUAUCAUUUUUGUUGCAAACAAUUUAAUUAUACUUUUAGUUAUUUAAAAUAUGCAGUUAAGUUACUUUGACUAUAGUCACCCUGUUCUGCUAGCAAAUACUAGGUCUUAUUCAUUCUAUUUUUUUGUACCACUAACCAUCCCCAAGCAUCCCCACUUCUGCCCCACAUCCUCAUUACCCUUCCUAGCCUUUGGUAAGCAUCCUUUUACUCUCUAUAUUGAUGACUUCAAUUGUUUUAAUUUUCAUUCCCACAAAUAAGUGAGAACAUGUGAUAUUUGUCUUUCUGUGCCUGGCUU
Homo sapiens (human) is the source of this 27570-nucleotide long non-coding RNA. RefSeq lists it as uncharacterized. NCBI's taxonomy places the organism in Eukaryota, Metazoa, Chordata, Mammalia, Primates, Hominidae. The transcript is spliced from 3 exons. The record is from RefSeq and is a predicted model, not a curated record.